CCUACGGGAGGCAGCAGUAGGGAAUCUUCCGCAAUGGACGAAAGUCUGACGGAGCAACGCCGCGUGAGUGAUGAAGGCUUUCGGGUCGUAAAACUCUGUUGUUAGGAAAGAACAAGUGCUAGUUGAAUAAGCUGGCACCUUGACGGUACCUAACCAGAAAGCCACGGCUAACUACGUGCCAGCAGCCGCGGUAAU
RNAcentral lists this ribosomal RNA (195 nucleotides) under uncultured bacterium. RNAcentral describes it as "partial 16S ribosomal RNA". It matches the Rfam family "Bacterial small subunit ribosomal RNA", at positions 338 to 524 of the family's 1533-position model. The record is from RNAcentral.